Molecule: ribosomal RNA, 228 nt
Filed under: uncultured bacterium
Lineage: Bacteria
Description: partial 16S ribosomal RNA
Rfam family: Bacterial small subunit ribosomal RNA
Source: RNAcentral
UGCGCAGGCGGGCUUGUAAGUCAGUGGUGAAAUACUGCCGCUUAACGGUAGAACUGCCAUUGAUACUGCAAGUCUUGAAUAUGGUUGAGGUAGGCGGAAUGUGUUGUGUAGCGGUGAAAUGCAUAGAUAUGACACAGAACGCCAAUUGCGAAGGCAGCUUACUAAGCCAUUAUUGACGCUGAGGCACGAAAGCGUGGGGAGCGAACAGGAUUAGAUACCCUGGUAGUC